Molecule: ribosomal RNA, 482 nt
Filed under: uncultured bacterium
Lineage: Bacteria
Description: partial 16S ribosomal RNA
Rfam family: Bacterial small subunit ribosomal RNA
Source: RNAcentral
AUUGAACGCUGGCGGCAUGCCUUACACAUGCAAGUCGAACGGUAACGGGCCUUCGGGUGCCGACGAGUGGCGCACGGGGGGGUAAUACAUCGGAACGUGCCCGAUCGUGGGGGGUAACGAGGCGGAAGCUUUGCUAAUACCGCAUACGAUCUACGGAUGAAAGCAGGGGACCGCAAGGCCUUGCGCGGACGGAGCGGCCGAUGGCAGAUUAGGUAGUUGGUGGGAUAAAAGCUUACCAAGCCGACGAUCUGUAGCUGGUCUGAGAGGAUGAUCAGCCACACUGGGACUGAGACACGGCCCAGACUCCUACGGGAGGCAGCAGUGGGGAAUUUUGGACAAUGGGCGCAAGCCUGAUCCAGCCAUGCCGCGUGCAGGAUGAAGGCCUUCGGGUUGUAAACUGCUUUUGUACGGAACGAAAAGCCUUCUUUUAAUACAGGAGGGUCAUGACGGUACCGUAAGAAUAAGCACCGGCUAACUACGUG